CUGGAUAAGCUUAGCCUGUCCUAAUCUGGAUUCUAAUCAGGAUAGACUAAGCAUUGUCACUCUUUUAGUACCUAGGAUGUAUCCCCAGAUCUAGUUAUUUCCCUAGGUCUGUCUUAUAAAUUCUGAUGAUGUAA
Molecule: small nucleolar RNA, 134 nt
Organism: Sorex fumeus (smoky shrew)
Lineage: Eukaryota; Metazoa; Chordata; Mammalia; Eulipotyphla; Soricidae
Product: small nucleolar RNA SNORA72
Exons: 1
Source: RefSeq, a predicted model, not a curated record